Molecule: ribosomal RNA, 582 nt
Filed under: Triticum aestivum (bread wheat)
Lineage: Eukaryota; Viridiplantae; Streptophyta; Magnoliopsida; Poales; Poaceae
Description: partial small subunit ribosomal RNA
Source: RNAcentral
AUGGGCUCCUACCGCUACAGCUCCGCCUCGCAGUUCUUCUUCGCCGCCGGCGAAGCCGGCCCCGGCCCCGCCGCGCGCAAGCCCGCCAGAACCGUGCGGAUCCCCGUCACCACGCCUCAGGACGCGGCGGCCGCCAGGAUCCAGGCGGCGUUCCGGAGCCGCCGGGUCCGGAGGCACGUCGCGGCCGUGCGCUCCGCCGACGCCGAGGCGACGCGGCUCGAGCGGCUGCUCCGGCGGCAGGAGACCGUGGACGCCGUCCGCGGCGACGACCGCGAGCGCGCGCGCUUCUCGGAGGCGCUCAUGGCCGUGCUGCUCCGCCUCGACGCCGUCCCGGGCCACGACCCGGCCGUGCGGGAGGCCCGGCGCGCCGUCAGCCGCCGCGUCGUCGGCCUCCAGGAGGUGUUCGACUCCGUGCUCGCGGCGCCCGAGGCCGACACCUACGGCGUCCCGGCGAGCCUGGCCCAGGUUCUCGAGGGGAUCUGGGGCAUCGGAGAGGCGCCGGUUGCGCCGCCGCCGCCGGCGGUGGCCGCGGAGGAGGAGGCGAGGAGGAGUGGCUGGGGCAGGUUUUUCGCGGUACUUUAG